AUAGAGAGAGAGCAGACCACAGCCCCCGGCAUUAUGACUAGCUUGUCUUUGUCUACCCACCCGGACCAUACUAUCCGAAUGUAGAUCGCUGGUACUGCCGUUUAAAGGUCACCUGGGACAUGCGCAAAACCAUGUAAACGCCUGCAUGACAUCGACCAGCUGAAGGACCAACCAGACAGACAACCAGCAAAGUGUCACAGCAUGGUGUGUUCAGCUCCACCUUCCUCCCCACCUCAUGUCCUGCACUGGCUGUAAUCCUCAGGCCCUGCAGUCUAUGGUGCUGACCAACAGCUGGGUAAGUGUGUGUGCUUGUAUACACAAGGAUUACGGCUUGCAUGAAUGGUCAGUCCACACACAGAGAGAGAGAUGAGAUGUUUAGCAUGUUUUUACAAUAAGAUAGAUUUGGAGUUAUAUAAACUUAGAUUUUUCGGCAAGGACAAAUACAGGGUACUACCCUCCACGACAACCUUCACUCCAAACCAAAACUACAAACCUACAACCUGAUUUUGGACUAAAUUACCUGUAAGGAUUCCUACUACCAAAGCUUCUUGUUUCCAAGCUAUACAGCAAAUUCUCUGGCAAACAAACAGAAACCUGAAAACACCAUCCAACCUGGAACUGAGUGAGUCAUGUUUAGUCUGAAUCUACAUUUAAAGCCAAGAAGAAAAAUACAUGACAAUAGUUUUUUUACUUUAUAAGGGCUGAAUGCUAAGUUAAGGCUACCAAGCUAGGACAGAACAUAACACUUCAAUGAGGUGUGAAGUGAGGUGUCAAAGCCCUUGAAACCAACAAUAGCAGGAGAGUUUCACAGCCUCCCCCACCCAAAUGCAGAGGCCUUUGAAGCCCCCUCCUGCGGUUCAGAGGUCAUUACAAUACAGUACCCUCUGGAUGUAAGAAUUGAGAAGACACCAAAAGAGUACAAAAAUAAGCUCAUUUUGGAAAAUCAAGAGACACUUUUUGCUGACUGCUAUAAAAAUGGGAACAUAAUCAACUUAAUCUUCCACACAGACCAUGGCGCAGUGCUAUAUUAACUAUCAAAAUAAAUAAAGUUGCAUACUCCAUAUAUAAACUACU
Long non-coding RNA from Oncorhynchus kisutch (coho salmon), 1074 nucleotides. RefSeq lists it as uncharacterized. The record is from RefSeq and is a predicted model, not a curated record. NCBI's taxonomy places the organism in Eukaryota, Metazoa, Chordata, Actinopteri, Salmoniformes, Salmonidae. The transcript is spliced from 4 exons.